Molecule: ribosomal RNA, 490 nt
Filed under: uncultured bacterium
Lineage: Bacteria
Description: partial 16S ribosomal RNA
Rfam family: Bacterial small subunit ribosomal RNA
Source: RNAcentral
AUUGAACGCUGGCGGCAUGCCUUACACAUGCAAGUCGAACGGCAGCAUGAUCUAGCUUGCUAGAUUGAUGGCGAGUGGCGAACGGGUGAGUAAUACAUCGGAACGUGCCCUGUAGUGGGGGAUUACUAGUCGAAAGAUUAGCUAAUACCGCAUACGACCUGAGGGUGAAAGUGGGGGACCGCAAGGCCUCAUGCUAUAGGAGCGGCCGAUGUCUGAUUAGCUAGUUGGUGAGGUAAAGGCUCACCAAGGCGACGAUCAGUAGCUGGUCUGAGAGGACGAUCAGCCACACUGGGACUGAGACACGGCCCAGACUCCUACGGGAGGCAGCAGUGGGGAAUUUUGGACAAUGGGCGAAAGCCUGAUCCAGCAAUGCCGCGUGUGUGAAGAAGGCCUUCGGGUUGUAAAGCACUUUUGUCCGGAAAGAAAUGGCUCUGGUUAAUACCUGGGGUCGAUGACGGUACCGGAAGAAUAAGGACCGGCUAACUACGUG